CUUUGUGAUUUUAUGCCUUCAACUUCUCUAUGCUAAAUGCAACUUCACUUCAUGACACCCCCGCUCCCUUUUUUUCGUUUAUAAUUUAUUUAUCCCUUCGAAACUUUUAUUUGUCCACAAAAAAUUGCAACUCUCCUAAACCCUAGAAUUUUUUGUUGAGAUCUGAGCUUUCUUUUGCUGCCAAUCCUUUUGUUAAUAGUGUCGUUCGAUGUCGUGGUGAUCUCCACAGAUUUUCCUUUCUCACUUAUUUUUUUAAAUUUUUCUAGGAAAAAAAACUAGUUUUCUUUGCUUUGCAGAUGUCUCCCCGCGGUUUACUCACCGAAGUGGUUUGUUUUGGCAUUUCCUUUUGGGGGUCUUAUGGACUUUAUAUUGGUGGGCGGCGGCUCUGGACGACUAUAAAUGAGAAAUUUGCCAGUCACGGGAAGCCUUGCCCCGGAACCACUAUAACCUAUGUGUGUAAGGAGUGCGGGAGUAAGAAGUGCAUUAGGGAUUGGUGCCUCAUUAAGGACAAUGGAUUUGGAUUUGAUAUUAUUCAAUCCUCAUCCCGCUAGUUGAUACUUGUUGCUUGCUUCCAAUCAAUGCUAAUGUUAAGCCAAAACUAGUGCACGUUGUUUAUGUAUUGUAAUCAGACUUCCCCUCAUUUCUUCUUGGCCACCCACUCCCCCCUUCUUUAUCUGAGGCAAUUGAGAUUGGGUCUUUCCUUCUCUUUGUAUAAGAUUUCGAAGUCAUUUAUGUAGUAG
This is a long non-coding RNA of Coffea eugenioides, 740 nucleotides long. RefSeq lists it as uncharacterized. The transcript is spliced from 3 exons. The record is from RefSeq and is a predicted model, not a curated record. NCBI's taxonomy places the organism in Eukaryota, Viridiplantae, Streptophyta, Magnoliopsida, Gentianales, Rubiaceae.